GUAGUCGCACGGAACGUAGCCGGUCAUAACCGGAGGAAGGUGGGGAGUGACGUCAAGUCAGCAUGGCCUUUAUAUCCUGGGCUACACACACGCUACAAUGGGAAGGGACAAUAGGUUGCGAAGCCGCGAGGCGGAGCCAAUCCAGCAAACUUCCUCAGUUCAGAUUGCAGGCUGCAACUCGCCUGCAUGAAGUUGGAGUUGCUAGUAAACGCAGGUCAGCCAUACUGCGUUGAAUACGUUCCCGGGGCUU
This 250-nucleotide ribosomal RNA is filed under the name uncultured Anaerolineaceae bacterium. RNAcentral's name for it is "partial 16S ribosomal RNA". It matches the Rfam family "Bacterial small subunit ribosomal RNA", at positions 1135 to 1382 of the family's 1533-position model. Lineage: Bacteria; Bacillati; Chloroflexota; Anaerolineae; Anaerolineales; Anaerolineaceae. The record is from RNAcentral.